CCUACGGGAGGCUGCAGUGGGGAAUAUUGGACAAUGGGGGCAACCCUGAUCCAGCCAUGCCGCGUGUGUGAAGAAGGCCCUCGGGUUGUAAAGCACUUUCAGUGAGGAAGAACGCCUGGUGGUUAAUACCCAUCAGGAAAGACAUCACUCACAGAAGAAGCACCGGCUAACUCCGUGCCAGCAGCCGCGGUAAUACGGAGGGUGCGAGCGUUAAUCGGAAUUACUGGGCGUAAAGCGCGCGUAGGUGGCUUGAUAAGCCGGUUGUGAAAGCCCCGGGCUCAACCUGGGAACGGCAUCCGGAACUGUCAAGCUAGAGUGCAGGAGAGGAAGGUGGAAUUCCCGGUGUAGCGGUGAAAUGCGUAGAGAUCGGGAGGAAUACCAGUGGCGAAGGCGGCCUCCUGGACUGACACUGACACUGAGGUGCGAAAGCGUGGGUAGCAAACAGGAUUAGAUACCCGAGUAGUC
Molecule: ribosomal RNA, 465 nt
Filed under: Vreelandella stevensii
Lineage: Bacteria; Pseudomonadati; Pseudomonadota; Gammaproteobacteria; Oceanospirillales; Halomonadaceae
Description: partial 16S ribosomal RNA
Rfam family: Bacterial small subunit ribosomal RNA
Source: RNAcentral